GGAGAGAUGGCAGAGCGGUUGAAUGCACUGGUCUUGAAAACCAGCAAACCUUCGCGGGUUUCCAGGGUUCGAAUCCCUGUCUCUCCGCCA
This 90-nucleotide transfer RNA is filed under the name SAR86 cluster bacterium SAR86E. RNAcentral's name for it is "tRNA-Ser". It matches the Rfam family "tRNA". Rfam says of the family: Transfer RNA (tRNA) molecules are approximately 80 nucleotides in length. Their secondary structure includes four short double-helical elements and three loops (D, anti-codon, and T loops). Further hydrogen bonds mediate the characteristic L-shaped molecular structure. tRNAs have two regions of fundamental functional importance: the anti-codon, which is responsible for specific mRNA codon recognition, and the 3' end, to which the tRNAs corresponding amino acid is attached (by aminoacyl-tRNA synthetases). tRNAs cope with the degeneracy of the genetic code in two manners: having more than one tRNA (with a specific anti-codon) for a particular amino acid; and 'wobble' base-pairing, i.e. permitting non-standard base-pairing at the 3rd anti-codon position. The record is from RNAcentral. Lineage: Bacteria; Pseudomonadati; Pseudomonadota; Gammaproteobacteria. RNAcentral also lists the same sequence under 7 other names.